This 461-nucleotide ribosomal RNA is filed under the name uncultured bacterium. Its description in RNAcentral is "partial 16S ribosomal RNA". It matches the Rfam family "Bacterial small subunit ribosomal RNA", at positions 338 to 795 of the family's 1533-position model. The record is from RNAcentral.
CCUACGGGAGGCUGCAGUGAGGAAUAUUGGUCAAUGGGCGGGAGCCUGAACCAGCCAAGUCGCGUGAGGGAAGACGGUCCUACGGAUUGUAAACCUCUUUUGCCGGGGAGCAACGGGGUCCUUGCGAGGGCCCGAUGAGAGUACCCGGAGAAAAAGCAUCGGCUAACUCCGUGCCAGCAGCCGCGGUAAUACGGAGGAUGCGAGCGUUAUCCGGAUUUAUUGGGUUUAAAGGGUGCGUAGGCGGAUUGAUAAGUUAGAGGUGAAAUGUCCGAGCUUAACUCGGGAACUGCCUCUAAUACUGUUGAUCUAGAGAGUAGAUGCGGUAGGCGGAAUGUAUGGUGUAGCGGUGAAAUGCUUAGAGAUCAUACAGAACACCGAUUGCGAAGGCAGCUUACCAAUCUAUAUCUGACGUUGAGGCACGAAAGCGUGGGGAGCAAACAGGAUUAGAUACCCCGGUAGUC